Molecule: ribosomal RNA, 433 nt
Filed under: uncultured bacterium
Lineage: Bacteria
Description: partial 16S ribosomal RNA
Rfam family: Bacterial small subunit ribosomal RNA
Source: RNAcentral
AACGAACGCUGGCGGCGUGCCUAACACAUGCGAGUCGAACGAGACCUUCGGGCCUAGUGGCGCACGGGUGCGUAACGCGUGGGAACCAGCACUUAGGUUCGGUAUACCUCCCCGAAAGGGGUGCUAAUGACGGAUAAUGUCUUAGGACCAAAGAUCUUUCGCCGUUGGAUGGGCCCGGGUUGGUUUCGCUAGUUGGUAGGGUACAAGCCUGUCAAGGCGUCGUUGCAUAGCUGGUGGGGGAGGAAGGUUCGCAAGGCUGGGGCUACGGCCCGGCCCAGUCGGCGACGGGAGGCAGCAGUGUGGAAUAUUGGAGGCUGGGCGAAGGUGUGAUCCAGCAAUGCCGCGUGAGUGGUGAAGGCCUUAGGGUUGUAAAGCUCUUUUACCCGGGAUGAGAGUGACGGUACCGGGAGAAUAAGCUCCGGCUAACUCCGUG